RNAcentral lists this ribosomal RNA (816 nucleotides) under uncultured marine bacterium. RNAcentral describes it as "bacterial SSU rRNA". It matches the Rfam family "Bacterial small subunit ribosomal RNA", at positions 54 to 918 of the family's 1533-position model. The record is from RNAcentral.
CAUGCAAGUCGAACGAAGUAGCAAUACUUAGUGGCAGACGGGUGAGUAACAUGUAGGUAUCUGCCCUUUGGCCUGGAAUAACACGAGGAAACUUGUGCUAAUACCGGAUAAGUCUUUACGGAGAAAGCUUUAUGCACCAUUGGAUGAGCCUGCACUUGAUUAGUUUGUUGGUAGGGUAAUGGCCUACCAAGACUGUGAUCAAUAGCUGAUUUGAGAGGAUGAUCAGCCACAUUGGGACUGAGACACGGCCCAAACUCCUACGGGAGGCAGCAGUGGGGAAUCUUGCACAAUGGAGGAAACUCUGAUGCAGCGAUGCCGCGUGAGUGAAGAAGGCCUUUGGGUUGUAAAGCUCUUUCGUCGGGGAAGAAAAUGACUGUACCCGAAUAAGAAGGUCCGGCUAACUUCGUGCCAGCAGCCGCGGUAAUACGAAGGGACCUAGCGUAGUUCGGAAUUACUGGGCUUAAAGAGUUCGUAGGUUGUUGAAAAAGUUAGUGGUGAAAUCCCAGAGCUUAGCUCUGGAACUGCCAUUAAAACUUUUCAGCUAGAGUAUGAUAGAGGAAAGCAGAAUUUCUAGUGUAGAGGUGAAAUUCGUAGAUAUUAGAAAGAAUACCAAUUGCGAAGGCAGCUUUCUGGAUCAUUACUGACACUGAGGAACGAAAGCAUGGGUAGCGAAGAGGAUUAGAUACCCUCGUAGUCCAUGCCGUAAACGAUGUGUGUUAGACGUUGGAAAUUUAUUUUCAGUGUCGCAGGGAAACCGAUAAACACACCGCCUGGGGAGUACGACCGCAAGGUUAAAACUCAAAUGAAUUGACGGGA